ACGCUCGACACCUACGGAGGCAGCAGUGGGGAAUAUUGCACAAUGGGGGAAACCCUGAUGCAGCGACGCCGCGUGGAGGAAGAAGGUCUUCGGAUUGUAAACUCCUGUUGUUGGGGAAAAAGAGGAUGGUACCCAACAAGGAAGUGACGGCUAACUACGUGCCAGUAGCCGCGGUAAGUCUGAGCGGGCUGGCAAGGC
This 198-nucleotide ribosomal RNA is filed under the name uncultured bacterium. Its description in RNAcentral is "partial 16S ribosomal RNA". It matches the Rfam family "Bacterial small subunit ribosomal RNA", at positions 328 to 539 of the family's 1533-position model. The record is from RNAcentral.